This 247-nucleotide long non-coding RNA is filed under the name Vigna radiata. Its description in RNAcentral is "long non-coding RNA (VRAD_LNC006845)". Lineage: Eukaryota; Viridiplantae; Streptophyta; Magnoliopsida; Fabales; Fabaceae. The record is from RNAcentral.
CCCGAUCCAGGUCAAAUCUCGCUCAAGCAUCACAGGGCGCUCGCCCGGGCUUGAAUUAAGGCUUCUAUAAGGCUUGGGUGCCAGUUUUGGAUGCCUGGGCUACAAGCGGCCGUCACCCGGGCGCCAGGUCCGUCACCUGGGCGACGAGCGGUAUUUCCUGCUCGCAAAUUUUGCACUUCCAGGUGCUCUCCUGGGCUUCGGGUUUUCUCCCUUCUUGGUGUCUUUUUGACCCCUUUUGAGCUCCGUC